This 669-nucleotide long non-coding RNA is filed under the name Lathyrus oleraceus (garden pea). Its description in RNAcentral is "Pisum sativum (pea) long non-coding RNA (PSAT_LNC031263)". The record is from RNAcentral. Lineage: Eukaryota; Viridiplantae; Streptophyta; Magnoliopsida; Fabales; Fabaceae.
UUGAAUCAAGCAUUUGAUGAAAGUUUGAAAGAGUAGGAGGGCGAAAUGAAUUGAUUUGUUUAUUGAGAAAACACUCGACGUUGGAUCGAGUCUUAUUUUUUUAUUUUUUCAGAAAUGGUGGAUUUUACUCUUUGGUUAGUGUCUAAAACAAAUAGAGAAAUAAAACAAUACAACAUUAUAUACACAUUGGGGAAGUGGGGUACAUUUUGUCAAAUGGGGAUUCAAAAUCAUGAAAUAAUUAAAUCGGACCCAAACAACAAAUGAUGCGAAAUAUGAGUGUAAGUGCAAGAGAACCGGCUCAUUGUAAGAAAGCCCAAGAGUAAGCUAUGUGAGGUUGAUGGCGAUGCUUAAAAAGCAAUCGACUUACAAAGGUGUGGAAAAUGGGCUCGAUAUUAAAUCGAGAAAAAUAUGAUUUUAAUAGUUUUAAAAUGGUUUUGAAUGAAUGAUGAAAUUAAAAGAAAACAAAUUUGCAUUAUUAACAAAUGAAACUAUGAGUAUAAUAAAGGCAUAAACAUAAAAAAGAAAAUAAAACAGCUAAAAGAAAAUAAAAUAGCUAAAAGAAAAUAAAAUAGCUAAAAGAAAUAAAAUGCCAAAAAAAAAUGCUACACAUGAGUAUUGACCCCUCUCCACUUAAGAUUAUGAAACUACCCUCUCUCCACUAGGCCAUUU